CCUACGGGGGGCUGCAGUGGGGAAUAUUGGACAAUGGGGGGAACCCUGAUCCAGCCAUGCCGCGUGUGUGAAGAAGGCCCUCGGGUUGUAAAGCACUUUCAGUGAGGAAGAACGCCUGGUGGUGAAUACCCAUCAGGAAAGACAUCACUCACAGAAGAAGCACCGGCUAACUCCGUGCCAGCAGCCGCGGUAAUACGGAGGGUGCGAGCGUUAAUCGGAAUUACUGGGCGUAAAGCGCGCGUAGGUGGCUUGAUAAGCCGGUUGUGAAAGCCCCGGGCUCAACCUGGGAACGGCCUCCGGAACUGUCACGCUAGAGUGCAGGAGAGGAAGGUAGAAUUCCCGGUGUAGCGGUGAAAUGCGUAGAGAUCGGGAGGAAUCCCAGUGGCGAAGGCGGCCUUCUGGACUGACACUGACACUGAGGUGCGAAAGCGUGGGUAGCAAACAGGAUUAGAUACCCCUGUAGUC
Molecule: ribosomal RNA, 465 nt
Filed under: Vreelandella stevensii
Lineage: Bacteria; Pseudomonadati; Pseudomonadota; Gammaproteobacteria; Oceanospirillales; Halomonadaceae
Description: partial 16S ribosomal RNA
Rfam family: Bacterial small subunit ribosomal RNA
Source: RNAcentral